CGACUUAUUCUCGUACUAUUUUCCAUCCAUCCAUCAUCUACUGAUAAUCGGAUAGUUUAGUAGCUUAGUCGGAUCGCAGGAACAGCAGAAGACAGACGUUGUAACACAAGGAAGAGUUUGGAGCUGCAUUUGAAGCUCUUCAUUCUUCCUCGUGGCUGAAAGCAAUCGAGGAACAGAAGACGACGGUUCCGUGGACCUUUCUCGCCUGUGGGAACCUAAAUCCAGGCACAUUUACGUUUGCAGCUGACAUUUUAUUACUGGGGCGCAAUAAAAGCACCAAAGGAGUCCCACCCGCCGAUCAGCAGCGCGAGAACGACGGCGGGCCGUUUAUCGGCGUGCCAACAGGAAUAACGCUGCGUAAGCGGGACUGCUGAUUGGUUUCAUCCUCACUUUGCUGUUUAACUUGGCUGCGAGCAGGACAUCAUUCACACAGAGGCGAUGAUGUCAUGCAAGAAGCAGGCUGGAACACGUGCUAAAUCAUCUUGAAAAGUGGACAUUUUUAAUGAGUGCACAGUCACAGCAAGACGUGUAAACAUUUAAGUUGAAAAGCUCAAUUCGCGGUGGUUACAAUCAGAAAUUUGGACAGAAUGUAAUCGGUAAAAACAUGUUUUAAAUGAUUUAACAGUCUCACAUGCUAUUGAAACAUGCCAGCCUGUUAAAAACUGUUUAAAAUGCACGUACAGUGGUAUGAAAAA
Long non-coding RNA from Corythoichthys intestinalis (scribbled pipefish), 695 nucleotides. RefSeq lists it as uncharacterized. The transcript has 3 exons. The record is from RefSeq and is a predicted model, not a curated record. NCBI's taxonomy places the organism in Eukaryota, Metazoa, Chordata, Actinopteri, Syngnathiformes, Syngnathidae.